Molecule: transfer RNA, 73 nt
Filed under: Thermodesulfovibrio sp. N1
Lineage: Bacteria; Pseudomonadati; Nitrospirota; Thermodesulfovibrionia; Thermodesulfovibrionales; Thermodesulfovibrionaceae
Also listed under: 2 other names
Description: tRNA-Ala
Rfam family: tRNA
About the family: Transfer RNA (tRNA) molecules are approximately 80 nucleotides in length. Their secondary structure includes four short double-helical elements and three loops (D, anti-codon, and T loops).
Source: RNAcentral
GGGCGGUUAGCUCAGUUGGGAGAGCGCCAGAAUCGCACUCUGGAGGUCGGGGGUUCAAAUCCCCUACCGUCCA